This is a long non-coding RNA of Macaca fascicularis (crab-eating macaque), 1625 nucleotides long. The record is from Ensembl. NCBI's taxonomy places the organism in Eukaryota, Metazoa, Chordata, Mammalia, Primates, Cercopithecidae.
AAACGCUGAGAGAGAAGGCUUCAGUAAAGGCUUAAGGAAUUAACAACCUCAUGUUAAAAGGCUAAGGAGGUAAGGAUUAUUGCCACCAUCACUGUCAGUCAUCAUCACUGUCAUCACCAUCAUCAUCUCCAUUUUACAUCUGAGGAAAGUGAACCACAAAAGGGUCCAUAGAAGCCAGACCACUCUCUUGAGGUAGGGGAUGAGGACUUCUCUGCGGGAAAUGCAUCAUUCCUCUCAAUCAUCCCAUGAGGUUAGUCCUGAGCCAGAAAGCAGAAUCAGAAGACAGGGAAAAGGCAAGCCUGGUUCCUCUCCGUAGAGCUAAAACCAACGGGACAAAGACUCUGAGCUCCAGAGAGGCAUGGAAUGCAUCAGUUACAGAUGUAAGCACAUGAUCCACUUGGCCAAUCAAGGUUCUUCAUCCCUCCAUUCACAGUGAGGGAUCCACAGGAUGGGCAAAUAACUCAAACAAGAGUGGAAAUCCUCUGUUACAUUUAAUAAAAGAACAGUGAGAUCAAUAGCGUCUGCCAUGAACUGCAGUAACUAUGAAAGCCUGGAGUUGCCAUGGCAUGAAAGAAGCUGACAAUGAAGCCAACACAGAGAAAAGUGGAGUCAAGCUACAGAGUGAGGAGCAGUUUCUAGUAACAUCCUGUGAGCCCCUGGACAUAGUCUGAAGGACAACUCAAUGCUCGACUUUUCAGUUAAAUGAGCCAAUUAGUGUUAUGCAUAUAAAGAAAGUAUAUAUAUGUACAUAUAUAUAUGCAUGUCUAUACCCUUAUUUUUAAAACAAAUGAGAGCAUACUCUGUACACUGUUCUGCCCAUCGACUUUCUCACUUAAUAUAUCUUUUAGAAUUAGCACAUAUAGAUCUACUUUAUUAGAGCAUAUACAUCUAUUUUAUUCUUUAAUGGUUGCAUAAAAUUUCAUUGUGUAAACAUUACACACUAUAUUGCACCAGUUCCUUGUUGAUCAGCAUUUAGAUUAUGUACAAUUAUUUGCUACAUCAAACUACAAAAAUGACUAUGCUUAGAUAUAUGUCUUUGUACUGUAUACAAGUAUAUCUCUAGGCUUUUAGGAAGCAACUGACACAUUGAUUCUAGAAUUUAUAUGGAAAUUUGAAGGACCUAGAACAGUCAAAACAAUUUUGAAGAACAACUGUGGAUUAUUCACAUUAUCUGAUUUCAAGACUUCCUAUAAAGUUACAGUAAUCAAGACUGUACUGUAAGAAUGAAUACAUGAAUGUAACAUAAUAUAGGGUUCAGAAAUAAACCUGUACAUUUAGUGUUAAUUGAUUUUCAACCAAGAUACCCAAAUAUCAAUGGAGAAAGGAAAGUUUAAGAUAGAUUGAGCUGAAACAACCAGAAAAAAACUGAAAACUUGAGCCUCGAUCUCCACCUCACAUCAUACACAAAAAUUAGUUAGCAAUAUGCGAUAAACCUAAAUGUGUAAGUUAAAACUGUAACUAUUCCAGAAGAAAAUUUAGAACAUCUUUACAACCUUAAGCAAAAGUUUUAAGUAGAUGUGUGAAUGGCCAAUAAGCACAUGUAAAGGUGCUCAGCAGAGAAAUGCUUUAAAACUGCAAUUAGAUACUACUUCACACAUAGGAGAAUAGCUGAAAAAAAAAAAAAA